CUCACUACCUGCGCUAUGUUAAAUAUUGUUUAACCACUAAAAUCGACUCGCAUAGAAGAAAACAGCCAACGAGAAUUGAGCAUACAAAACAACACCUUAACCUUGCUCCUUCUCCUCCCGCCAUUCGAGAGUAAGGCUCGGCCAACCAAAAGCCAGUGGCAAAGUGCGAAAACGGUAAACCAUAAAUAAUUAAUGAAACGUUAAUGAGAGCCAAUGGGCUACCUGACAAAAAGCAAGUGUGAAAGUAAAAGUGACACUUCCGUUUGACAGCUACCGCCAAACUCCACUGAGGCCAGUACAUUACCAGUAGUAUCCAUGUGUGUAUAAGUGCGAGUCCGUCCUGUCCAGUCACGAUUGUCACGUGCCGUACUGCUGCAUGAUUAGCACCCUGGAUUGGCACAAUAUUUAAAUGCUGAUAAUUAAUGCGCGAGCGGGUGAAGAAAGGAAAACAAGGAGUUGCUAGUAGAACUAGCUCCAGUACCCCGGACCUAGUGACCAAUUAAGUGGCUAGACCCCGCUGACCACCCGCUCCAGUGUGUCCUAGACACGGAAAAGGGGUCACCCAGAGCUGCCCCGGCAGUCGGCGAAGUUUAGAAUAAUUUCCAAGUGCAAGUGCAAGAGAACGGAAGAGUUGUCGUACUGUGAGAGAGCUGAAAGGUGCCCCAGAACUAGGGCUUGGCCUUCUGGAUUAUGCUGUCAGCAAGCUACUCGGUCAACUCGGCUGGAGCCCGGUCGGUGUGUGAUAGUUAAGGUUGCGCUAGUUAGUACCGGUGCCAAAGCGGUCUGGUGCGACCAGAUUUGCAGUGAUUGUGUUUUAACGUUCUUUUUUUUUUCUACUCCAAGAACCUCGACUCGCUGAUAAGUGACUGCUGGGUGAUCUUGCCACUAUUACUACCCCCGGUGACUGUGGCGUGCUAGUUUGUGUGUAUUUUUUUGCCGAGAACAGUGUUUAGUGAAUUGGUUACUGUGUGCUGUUGUUGGAGAUUGGUGGUCAACCUGACCCCCCUGAUCGUAGAACGUGCGACGGCAGUACGGACCCCUGCACUAAGAAACGACUGUGACUGUUCGAUUCACAAAGGAGAAGGAUUAUCAUUUUGAUACGGUGUACUGGAAUUUUAAUGGUUUACAUGAAUGGACUCGGAAAUGACCCUCUGUCUGCGAAGGAGGCAGAGGGCCCACCAGUCCAGCUUGAACCAGUUGAUCUCAGCGUUCGCUCGCCACCAAAAG
Molecule: long non-coding RNA, 1227 nt
Organism: Ochlerotatus camptorhynchus
Lineage: Eukaryota; Metazoa; Arthropoda; Insecta; Diptera; Culicidae
Exons: 3
Source: RefSeq, a predicted model, not a curated record